ACACUCCUGCGGGAGGCAGCAGUGGGGAAUUUUGGACAAUGGGCGAAAGCCUGAUCCAGCAAUGCCGCGUGAGUGAAGAAGGCCUUCGGGUUGUAAAGCUCUUUUGUCAGGGAAGAAACGGUGAGAGCUAAUAUCUCUUGCUAAUGACGGUACCUGAAGAAUAAGCACCGGCUAACUACGUGCCGGCAGCCGCGGUAAUACGUAGGGUGCAAGCGUUAAUCGGAAUUACUGGGCGUAAAGCGUGCGCAGGCGGUUUUGUAAGUCUGAUGUGAAAUCCCCGGGCUCAACCUGGGAAUUGCAUUGGAGACUGCAAGGCUAGAAUCUGGCAGAGGGGGGUAGAAUUCCACGUGUAGCAGUGAAAUGCGUAGAUAUGUGGAGGAACACCGAUGGCGAAGGCAGCCCCCUGGGUCAAGAUUGACGCUCAUGCACGAAAGCGUGGGGAGCAAACAGGAUUAGAAACCCCUGUAGUCCCAUGA
This 476-nucleotide ribosomal RNA is filed under the name uncultured organism. Its description in RNAcentral is "partial 16S ribosomal RNA". It matches the Rfam family "Bacterial small subunit ribosomal RNA", at positions 333 to 800 of the family's 1533-position model. The record is from RNAcentral.